Magnolia sinica is the source of this 1162-nucleotide long non-coding RNA. RefSeq lists it as uncharacterized. The transcript is spliced from 2 exons. The record is from RefSeq and is a predicted model, not a curated record. Lineage: Eukaryota; Viridiplantae; Streptophyta; Magnoliopsida; Magnoliales; Magnoliaceae.
UCUUAAUAUUUUCAUUAAAUCUCUCUGUUUCAUGGGUGACUAAUUAACUGUCUAUUUUAACUAACUCUCUCUAUUUCCUUGCUGCAUGUUUCAAAUAUUUACUUCUCUUGCUUAUUAUGUUUGACUUAAUAUUUCAUUUUCUUAUUUUAACUCUUCUCUCUCGGCGAUGUGUUCGGUUGCAUUAGACCUUUGGAAUGUUCAACCGUCUCCUAAUUUGAUGCACGUCGUUCAAAUUGCAUUAGGUUCAUGAAUCAUAAUACAAUGUUGUAGUGGUUCAAUGUAUAGAUAUUCUUUUCUUAAUGUGUGAAUCACUUAUCCAUAUGCUCUCCAUCAGUUGUCUUGCUUCAUAGUAUAGCAUAGGUGAAAGUAUUGUGUUGUGUUCAAUGGAUGAUAUGUUUGCGUGUGAUGACAUCACAUGUGCACAUGGUAGAGAAGGCUUCUUAAAUUUAGAUGUGGUUUUAACAAUCUUUUUCAGUGUUUAUUGUAGCCAUGACCAAAUCUGAUGCCACGUGCCAACUUUGCAAGUAGUGUUGGGUGCAAUUUUAUUGAAGAAUCCAAAAAUAAAAUUUGGAGAAAAAUGGAAAAAAAAAAAAACUAUAAAACAGUAGGAGAAGUUGGGGGUAAGAGGUUUUAUGGAGCUUGGUUUUUGAGGAGAAACCUUUGGGACUAUGACGUAUUGUUUGUUGAAGCCUUGGAUGUUUGUGAAGGUGCACAUUCUGCUCGGGGAAUGCUUGGAGCACAUUUAGGAGGGCAUAAGGAGCAAACUUUUGUUUGUUACUACGGGGCUUGGUAGCAGCUUUGGCAUGGUUCUUGGGAAGGAAUAAGGUGCUUAUGGUUGAUAAUAUUCAAAAGCGGAAGAUUAUGAUCACCAAUGUUUGCAUGUUGUGUAUGCAGAACGAGUCGAUGGACUAUCUCUUUAUUGAUUGUCCAUUUGCUAGCGAGUUUUGGGAGAGGUUCUUGGAGGUAUUUAGUAUGACGUGGGUGAUGCUAGGCUCCAUUGAUGGCCUUUUUCUAGCCUUGCAUGAGGGUGGGAUUGGGUGAGGAUGCUUUGGAGACUAAUCUUAUUGGCUGGAAUUUGGGUUUUUAUAGAUUUUUGGGAGGGAAAAAUUGAAUGUAAUGGAAUGGGCCUCAAAUUCAAAUAUUAAGGAUCUUGUUGAGUGUC